CUUGGCGGCACUAGCGCGGUGGUCCCACCUGACCCCAUGCCGAACUCAGAAGUGAAACGCCGUAGCGCCGAUGGUAGUGUGGGGUCUCCCCAUGCGAGAGUAGGGAACUGCCAGGC
This 116-nucleotide ribosomal RNA is filed under the name Salmonella enterica subsp. enterica serovar Infantis. The record is from RNAcentral. Lineage: Bacteria; Pseudomonadati; Pseudomonadota; Gammaproteobacteria; Enterobacterales; Enterobacteriaceae. RNAcentral also lists the same sequence under 54 other names.